UAGGGAAUCUUCGGCAAUGGGGGGAACCCUGACCGAGCAACGCCGCGAUAGUGAAGAAGGUUUUCGGUUCGUAAAGCUCUGUUGUUAAGGAAGAACGAGCGUGAGAAUGGAAAGUUCAUACUGUGACGCUACUUAACCAGAAAGGGACGGCUAACUACGUGCCAGCAGCCGCGGUAAUACGUAGGUCCCGAACGUUGUCCGGAUCUAUUGGGCGUAAAGCGAGCGCAGCGGGUUAGAUAAGUCUGAAUUUAAAGGCAGUGGCUCAACCAUUGUAGGCUUUGGAAACUGUUUAACUUGAGUGCAGAAGGGGAGGGUGGAAUUCCAUGUAUGGCUGUGAAAUGCGUAGAUGUAUGGAGGAACACCUGUGGCGAGGGCGACUCUCUGGUCUGUAACUGACGCUGAGGCUCGAAAGCGUGGGUAGCAAACAGG
This 429-nucleotide ribosomal RNA is filed under the name Bacteroidota bacterium. RNAcentral's name for it is "Bacteroidetes bacterium partial 16S ribosomal RNA". It matches the Rfam family "Bacterial small subunit ribosomal RNA", at positions 355 to 776 of the family's 1533-position model. Lineage: Bacteria; Pseudomonadati; Bacteroidota. The record is from RNAcentral.